This is a long non-coding RNA of Podarcis muralis (Common wall lizard), 1759 nucleotides long. RefSeq lists it as uncharacterized. NCBI's taxonomy places the organism in Eukaryota, Metazoa, Chordata, Lepidosauria, Squamata, Lacertidae. The record is from RefSeq and is a predicted model, not a curated record.
UAGCUAAGUACCAAAGGAGCGUCGCUAGUGGCAGCAGGAGUCCCAACGUCCAGGAUCACCCCCUCCCUAGUUAACGACUGCCAGAAACAGAAGCAGCAACAAAUCGUUGAGCUUCGACGUCCCCGCCUCCCCACUUUUCCAGCCGCCGGCGCGCCAGGUGAUUGGACAGCAGCCAGACUCUGCUGCACGGAACAACACAUUUAUCAAACCUAUGAAUCUUCCUGCUCCCCAGGAAAGCUUUUGAUGUGCUGAAGAGAGAACCAGAUACUUUCCAUUGUGGUUGGAUCCCGCAAAGCCCUUUCACGCAGCAAGCUCAGUCCUUCUGUGGUUAAAUGAAUUUACUGAGCUUGAGAAUGUAAAGACUGAUGGAGCUCUUUGCUGGCGCUAAAACAUCCGUUCCUGCCCACAGAUAAUUUUCCUGAUCUGGCAUUGUCCCUCCUUCCUUAUGCGAUAGAUGACACUGAAGACUUCUGAGUGGGAGAGAAAUGGAUGAUCAUUUACAAGAGCAGCUUGCUUUGAAAUUAUAGCUUUGCAAAUGACUAGAUCUUAUUUCACGUUCCAUUCUCUCCAGCACCCACAGAAGGUCAAUUUCCCCACCUCUUCUGAGGAUGGGUCCACAUGCUCUCCUUAAAAAGAUAAAGGGACCCCUGACCAUUAGGUCUAGUUGUGGCCAAUUCUGGGGUUGUGGCGCUCAUCUCGCUAUACUGGCUGAGGGAGCAGGUGUACAGCUUCCAGGUCAUGUGGCCAGCAUGACUAAGCCACUUCUGUCGAACCAGAACAGGGCAACGCGACUGGUUCUGCCACACUGAGCACCAAGCCUAGGGGACGCUGCAGGGUAUUGCAACUAUAAUAUAGUGAAUUGAGCAGAUUUCAUAUAUACAACCUGAGCAUACGAUAUUUGCAGGGAUAGCUGGUGCUUCUUUGGAACAGUGGGGCAGAAGAUAGGGAGCCAAGCAAUAGGUGGAGCCAGAGUCAUGGGUGGGCAGAGUUAACUGACUCUAUAGUUUUUCUACCCAUCCUCCUCUCUGCUGGAAGGAGCAGGAAGCUGACAGACAGCUCCAUCCCCUGGACUACAUUCACUGGACGGAGGGCAGAGGGUUGGGCUAGAUGACAUUUGGGGACCCUUCCAACACCACAUUUCUAUGACAUAUAUGAUUCUAUGACUGCUGACCUUUUCACCAACAUGACAUUCAGUGUGGGGGAGACCUCUGUGACAUUGUGAAAGGCCAGCGCCAAAAAGGUGUCGUUGCUGCUCCUCUCACCCGGAGUUCCUUCCAGGCUCAGGGGUGGCUAAGAGCGAGUGCCGAGAGCAAUCCCUGGGUGAUCUGCCUCUUAAUUACAGGGUUAAUGCAGGUGUCUCUAUCAGAAGAAGUUCCUUAACCUGAUAAUGAGCAGGAAGCAGCUGUACUUUGGAAAGUAGAAUAAUUGCAGAGCAGGGAUUUCUAAUUAUAAGGUGUGUGUGUGUCUGUGUGUGUGUGUGUGUGUGCUGCUGAGGAGUUUAUUUAGUGCCAGCUUGGAACUUCCUCCAAACAGCAGGCUCAGUUUCUUAAGAGUAGGAGGAGAGGGUGGUGUAGUGGCAGAGAAGAUGUCAGGGUAGAGCAGGUCAUUUUAGGGGGUGAAGCUUAAUUUUUGCUAAUUUCAGUGUGGGGUCUUAAAAAAUGUUUUUGAGUGUCAGGAGUUCAAAUCUGCUAUUAUUUUUGUGAUUAGACAGUAUUUAGCUUGGUAAAUCUAUGUUGGAUUAAAAAGCAUGUAAACUGUU